ACGAAUGCGGUAUCCCCGAUGAACUCAGUGCCGCUGGGGUCUUACAGAGGAUGAGACAUAGUCUGUUGCAUAAGGGUCACCGUGGUCCUGUCUCGAUCCAGAUUUAUGGUGAUUUGACCGGUCUUGACUUUCAAUCCUCCGACAUCAAGCUCAAUCAUUUUCACUCAGGUGAACGAACGAACAUAAACUGCUUGAUUAAAUUACGCUUUUCAAAAAAAUAAUGUUUUUUACAUGCGUAAUUGCGUAUGGUUUCAGGAGAGAAACGUGAGAAGAUGACGAAAAUCUUGGAAGACAUAGUUUCGUGGUCAGGUGAGAAUCCAGAACCAUCGGUGGGUUUGCUAGCCUUGGGAGACGUGGGAGACGCUGGAGAUGACAUUGUGGAGGUUGUUGAACUUCUCAAGAGUCAGAAAAAUUACAGGUUUAUGGUUCUGACUCCUCCACCACUCCCAGUCUCCCACCUCCUCCUCCAACGGUGGUGAUUAUGAUGGCUCCUCUUCCUCGUGGUGGACUCUAGUUUUUUGGUUUUAUGAAGCUGAAGAAUAACGUUUUCAUGAAAAAUAACAGUUGUUUGCAUUGAGUAAAUGUUGGGAUAAUCGGAAUCCUAUUUUGGAAACUUUUGUCAUUCUCGGAAGCAAAGAAG
Molecule: long non-coding RNA, 640 nt
Filed under: Brassica rapa (field mustard)
Lineage: Eukaryota; Viridiplantae; Streptophyta; Magnoliopsida; Brassicales; Brassicaceae
Description: long non-coding RNA (BRAP_LNC001463)
Source: RNAcentral